GUCUCACUCCCAACAGUCUGACUCAGUUGGGAACCUGCACCUGAGACCUUUCAACAUAUCCUAUCCACUGGACACAGCUAGAGAGUCCAGAAAAAGGCCCUCGUGGAAACCUGCUAUUGUCUCCAGGGGGAUCUCCAUAACAGCUCCUUCCUGAUGUAGAAGUUGGCUCAGCCGUAUUGAUCACACGGCAGCUGUGCUGUCCACGAGGAGGAUGGCUGACAUGGUCCAAAGUCGAAGAGCGCUUAACAGCUAAUACAUCGAGCGAUCCUCAGAGUAACCUUACGAGGUGGGCACUGUAAUGAAACUCAUCUUGUAGACACAAAGCCUCGGCACAAGGUUGUGUAGUGUGGUUCCCGGUUGGCUCAGAUUUCACAGAAGCCAGAUUUGGUGCUCCUGAGUUGCUGGCACUUGGGCUCCAGGGUCUCUGCUGCCGCCAGGUGAGGAGAGGAUUCAGGUCCCCCUCCUCUAAAAAUCUAUAGCUUCUAAUAGCAGCCCCAGAACAAGGCAAUCCAUUAGCAGAUGGUUUUGAGAAACAGAACAUAAGGUCUAUUUAUUACAGAGGGAAGGAAAGAAUGAUCAUUCUGGAACCAGCCCCUCUAUUUCCCACUUAAUGAAAUCUGCGCUGCACUAAUUUAUUAUGUUAUUUGUUUCUGAACUCAUUUCCCUAAGGAAAAGAUACAUGUGUGUGUGCAUGCAGCAAACAUCCUUUGUAGUUCACUGCUGUGGGGCGGUCUGUAUGUCAAAUUGCUCUGAUUGGUCAAUAAAUAAAACACUGGUUGGCCAGUGGCC
Molecule: non-coding RNA, 789 nt
Organism: Peromyscus maniculatus bairdii (prairie deer mouse)
Lineage: Eukaryota; Metazoa; Chordata; Mammalia; Rodentia; Cricetidae
Source: RefSeq, a predicted model, not a curated record